UAUUUCCUUUAUUUUCUUCUUUCCUUCCCGAUUCUAUUUUCUUCCCUAAUCUCCCGAUUUCCUCCAUUCGGCCUGAUCACCUUCCUCCCCGAUUUAUCUCCACCGACGACGAUCUUCCCCUUCGAGCGCCUCAUCAACGCCAAGCAAUCUUGGCUACUUGGCGGUCCGACCUUCUCCUUCUCUUCAUAUCGCGCCCGACUCUUGCCUCUUCUCCCGAUUCUUUCUCGUCGCCGGUUGCCAUCGCCGGCUCUGGGAGCCACCGAUCGUCUUCUCCUCUUCGUUGGCGCAGCCCCAUCGCCGAUUGCCAGCAAGAUCGCCCUGACCUGUUGGAUUCCCUCCUCAUCUCCUCCGUGAUCUUGCCCUCUUCCGAUCUGGUCACUGCCGCCCUGACGUCGCCGAUCCCCACAACCAUCUAUGCCAAAUGUGAUCGCGAUAGGGGAGGAGACUAGUCCUUGGCCGAUCCAUCGCCUUGGUCGCCAUCCGUCCACCUUCGAGCGCCGCUGAAGCCACCUCGCCACCAGGUGAUGCUGUUGCCGGAGGAAGAAUCAACGCAGGGGGGGCUAGGGCAUACUCUUCCUCUCACUGGCGGAUCGGAGCAGAGCAGAUCAGAGGCGGUUUCCAUAAGGGCUUUCUCCCCACCAGAUGGAUCGAAUCGGGUGAUCAACCUAGGUAAGCUUCCUCUGGACUCUAAUGGAUUCAAGGGUUUUGCUGCUUUGUGAUGUUCUUCCUUGAUGCUGGACUUGUGGGAAGCAUCGGAUCAACUUCUUGGUGGAUUCUUAGUGAGCAUAUCACUGCCUCUUUACUUCUUGUAGCUGUUGGGGUCUUGAUUGAGAGGUGGGGAUCGAUUUAGGUGUAUUUGUAGCUGCUGGACAGUGGGGGUAGGGUUGUGGGGUACUGGAUUUGGCUGCUCUAUCUCAAGGACUACCUUGGGAGCUAUCGGGCAGAGGUUGUUGGAUUGGGAGCUACUGAAUUUCUGUUAAAACCUCAUGGACUUGGAUUCGGGACGAGCGUCUCAACGUGGGAUUUUCGGACACGAGCUACGUAUUAAGGCGGGUAUUUCUUCCUUGGCCUCUAUGUAGAUUCUCUUGUACUUAGUGCAUGGUUAUUAUUGGAUGAAUUAGACUGCUUUAUCUUAUAUUA
Molecule: long non-coding RNA, 1140 nt
Organism: Zingiber officinale
Lineage: Eukaryota; Viridiplantae; Streptophyta; Magnoliopsida; Zingiberales; Zingiberaceae
Exons: 4
Source: RefSeq, a predicted model, not a curated record